RNAcentral lists this transfer-messenger RNA (394 nucleotides) under Bacteroidales. RNAcentral describes it as "UBA1711 sp018064245 Standard tmRNA". It matches the Rfam family "transfer-messenger RNA". From Rfam's summary of the family: Bacterial tmRNA, also known as 10Sa RNA or SsrA, is named for its dual tRNA and mRNA-like properties. Lineage: Bacteria; Pseudomonadati; Bacteroidota; Bacteroidia. RNAcentral also lists the same sequence under 1 other name. The record is from RNAcentral.
GGGGUUGACCGGUUUUGACAGCAAGGAUAAUGGGUAUGUAAGCAUGCAGGCUCACGCAUCAGCAGCCUUGAAAACCGAUGCAGAACAAUAAUAGGCGAAAAUAACUACGCUCUUGCUGCAUAACCGAAGUAUAGUAGGUUAUCUUAAUCCCCGCAACAGUUGCAGGGACAAGACAUUUCCCGCCGACCCCGCCCAUCGGUCUGCGAUUCGGAAGUGCUCGUGAGAAUGGGAUAGUCAGAGGUAGGUUCCGUCCCUUUGAUGAACUUUUAGGAACUAAGGAUGACAUUGGGUGUCUGCGUCCGGUGGCAUCACGAAAAUCAACCACAGAAUAAGCAUGUAGAAAGCACAUCUGUUACUUGUUUGGACGAGGGUUCGACUCCCUCCAGCUCCACCU